CAUCCUCGGCUUGGACUGGCACCCACCAGACUUGCCCUCCAAUAACACCAUUGGAGGGCAAGUCUGGUGCCAGCAGCCGCGGUAAUUCCAGCUCCAAUAGCGUAUAUUAAAGUUGUUGCAGUUAAAAAGCUCGUAGUUGAACUUUGGGCCUGGGCGGACGGUCUACCUAUGGUAAGCACUGUUGCGGCCGGGUCUUUCCUUCUGGCUAGCCCUCGGGCGAACCAGGACGAUUACUUUGAGGAAAUUAGAGUGUUCAAAGCAGGCCUUUGCUCGGAUAUAUUAGCAUGGAAUAAUAGAAUAGGACGCAUGGUUCUAUUUUGUUGGUUUCUAGGACCAUCGUAAUGAUUAAUAGGGACGGUCGGGGGCAUCAGUAUUCAGUCGUCAGAGGUGAAAUUCUUGGAUUGACUGAAGACUAACUACUGCGAAAGCAUUUGCCAAGGACGUUUUCAUUAAUCAAGAACGAAAGUUAGGGGAUCGAAGAUGAUCAGAUACCGUCCGCACUUCAGUG
Molecule: ribosomal RNA, 508 nt
Filed under: Pichia kudriavzevii
Lineage: Eukaryota; Fungi; Ascomycota; Pichiomycetes; Pichiales; Pichiaceae
Description: SSU rRNA
Rfam family: Eukaryotic small subunit ribosomal RNA
Source: RNAcentral